GGGGAAUUUUGGACAAUGGGCGAAAGCCUGAUCCAGCAAUGCCGCGUGCAGGAUGAAGGCCUUCGGGUUGUAAACUGCUUUUGUACGGAACGAAAAGACUCUGGUUAAUACCUGGGGUUCAUGACGGUACCGUGAGAAUAAGCACCGGCUAACUACGUGCCAGCAGCCGCGGUAAUACGUAGGGUGCAAGCGUUAAUCGGAAUUACUGGGCGUAAAGCGUGCGCAGGCGGUGAUGUAAGACAGAUGUGAAAUCCCCGGGCUCAGCCUGGGAACUGCAUUAGUGGCUGCAUCGCUGGAGUGCGGCAGAGGGGGAUGGAAUUCCGCGUGUAGCAGUGAAAUGCGUAGAUAUGCGGAGGAACACCGAUGGCGAAGGCAAUCCCCUGGGCCUGCACUGACGCUCAUGCACGAAAGCGUGGGGAGCAAAC
This 425-nucleotide ribosomal RNA is filed under the name uncultured bacterium. RNAcentral describes it as "bacterial SSU rRNA". It matches the Rfam family "Bacterial small subunit ribosomal RNA", at positions 356 to 773 of the family's 1533-position model. The record is from RNAcentral.